UACGGAGGGUGCAAGCAUUAAUCGGAAUUACUGGGCGUAAAGAGCGCGUAGGCGGCAAUGUAAGUCUGGUGUGAAAUUCCGGGGCUCAACCUCGGAGCUGCACUGGAAACUACAUAGCUAGAGAUUAGACGGAGAAAACGGAAUUCCACGUGUAGCGGUGAAAUGCGUAGAUAUGUGGAAGAACACCGGUGGCGAAAGCGGUUUUCUAGUCUAAGACUGACGCUGAGGCGCGAAAGCAAGGGGAGCAAACAGG
Molecule: unclassified non-coding RNA, 253 nt
Filed under: uncultured Chlamydiales bacterium
Lineage: Bacteria; Pseudomonadati; Chlamydiota; Chlamydiia; Chlamydiales
Description: contains 16S-23S intergenic spacer region
Rfam family: Bacterial small subunit ribosomal RNA
Source: RNAcentral